AUUUAAGUAGUUUAUUAAAAAACAAAGAAUUGUGGAUUCUUAGAAUCUUUUUAGACUUAGAUC
This 63-nucleotide transfer RNA is filed under the name Zyginella minuta. Its description in RNAcentral is "tRNA-His". The record is from RNAcentral. Lineage: Eukaryota; Metazoa; Arthropoda; Insecta; Hemiptera; Cicadellidae.